Molecule: ribosomal RNA, 445 nt
Filed under: uncultured bacterium
Lineage: Bacteria
Description: partial 16S ribosomal RNA
Rfam family: Bacterial small subunit ribosomal RNA
Source: RNAcentral
GUGAGGAAUAUUGGUCAAUGGGCGCAAGCCUGAACCUGCCAUGCCGCGUGCAGGAAGACGGUCCUAUGGAUUGUAAACUGCUUUUAUUUGGGAAUAAACCUCCUUACGUGUAGGGAGCUGAAGGUACCAAAUGAAUAAGCACCGGCUAACUCCGUGCCAGCAGCCGCGGUAAUACGGAGGGUGCAAGCGUUAUCCGGAAUCAUUGGGUUUAAAGGGUCCGCAGGCGGUCAUAUAAGUCAGUGGUGAAAGCCUACAGCUCAACUGUAGAAUUGCCAUUGAUACUGUAUGACUUGAAUUCGAUCGAAGUGGGCGGAAUGUGACAUGUAGCGGUGAAAUGCUUAGAUAUGUCACAGAACACCGAUAGCGAAGGCAGCUCACUAGGUCUGGAUUGACGCUCAGGGACGAAAGCGUGGGGAGCAAACAGGAUUAGAUACCCGGGUAGUCC